GGGUUGUGAGGUUAAGCGACUAAGCGUACACGGUGGAUGCCCUGGCAGUCAGAGGCGAUGAAGGGCGUGCUAAUCUGCGAUAAGCGCCGGUAAGGUGAUAUGAACCGUUAUAACCGGCGAUACCCGAAUGGGGAAACCCAGUGUGAUUCGUCACACUAUCAUUAACUGAAUCCAUAGGUUAAUGAGGCGAACCGGGGGAACUGAAACAUCUAAGUACCCCGAGGAAAAGAAAUCAACCGAGAUUCCCCCAGUAGCGGCGAGCGAACGGGGAGGAGCCCAGAGCCUGAAUCAGCAUGUGUGUUAGUGGAAGCGUCUGGAAAGGCGCGCGAUACAGGGUGACAGCCCCGUACACAAAAGCGCAUAUGCUGUGAGCUCGAUGAGUAGGGCGGGACACGUGGUAUCCUGUCUGAAUAUGGGGGGACCAUCCUCCAAGGCUAAAUACUCCUGACUGACCGAUAGUGAACCAGUACCGUGAGGGAAAGGCGAAAAGAACCCCGGCGAGGGGAGUGAAAAAGAACCUGAAACCGUGUACGUACAAGCAGUGGGAGCCCCACCACUAAGCCAGUGGUGAACUCCACAUACGCAUCCUUUGCUGAGGAGACGGUUAACGGAGCGAAAGCGACGUUCAACCUCAAAAGAAGCAGAGGGGGCUUAGUGGUGGGGUGACUGCGUACCUUUUGUAUAAUGGGUCAGCGACUUAUAUUCUGUAGCAAGGUUAACUGUAUAGGGGAGCCGGAGGGAAACCGAGUCUUAACCGGGCGUUAAGUUGCAGGGUAUAGACCCGAAACCCGGUGAUCUAGCCAUGGGCAGGUUGAAGGUUGGGUAACACUAACUGGAGGACCGAACCGACUAAUGUUGAAAAAUUAGCGGAUGACCUGUGGCUGGGGGUGAAAGGCCAAUCAAACCGGGAGAUAGCUGGUUCUCCCCGAAAGCUAUUUAGGUAGCGCCUCGUGAAUUCAUCUCCGGGGGUAGAGCACUGUUUCGGCUAGGGGGCCAUCCCGGCUUACCAACCCGAUGCAAACUGCGAAUACCGGAGAAUGUUAUCACGGGAGACACACGGCGGGUGCUAAUGUCCGUCGUGAAGAGGGAAACA
This 1093-nucleotide ribosomal RNA is filed under the name Salmonella enterica. RNAcentral describes it as "partial 23S ribosomal RNA". It matches the Rfam family "Bacterial large subunit ribosomal RNA", at positions 1 to 1024 of the family's 2925-position model. The record is from RNAcentral. Lineage: Bacteria; Pseudomonadati; Pseudomonadota; Gammaproteobacteria; Enterobacterales; Enterobacteriaceae.